RNAcentral lists this ribosomal RNA (449 nucleotides) under uncultured bacterium. RNAcentral describes it as "partial 16S ribosomal RNA". It matches the Rfam family "Bacterial small subunit ribosomal RNA", at positions 29 to 523 of the family's 1533-position model. The record is from RNAcentral.
AAUGAACGCUGGCGGCAUGCCUAACACAUGCAAGUCGAACGAAGGCUUCGGCCUUAGUGGCGCACGGGUGCGUAACGCGUGGGAAUCUGCCCUCAGGUUCGGAAUAACAGCGAGAAAUUGCUGCUAAUACCGGAUGAUAUCGCGAGAUCAAAGAUUUAUCGCCUGAGAAUGAGCCCGCGUAGGAUUAGCUAGUUGGUGUGGUAAAGGCGCACCAAGGCGACGAUCCUUAGCUGGUCUGAGAGGAUGAUCAGCCACACUGGGACUGAGACACGGCCCAGACUCCUACGGGAGGCAGCAGUGGGGAAUAUUGGACAAUGGGCGAAAGCCUGAUCCAGCAAUGCCGCGUGAGUGAUGAAGGCCUUAGGGUUGUAAAGCUCUUUUACCCGGGAUGAUAAUGACAGUACCGGGAGAAUAAGCUCCGGCUAACUCCGUGCCAGCAGCCGCAGUAA